UAUUAAAUUAAAAACUUUUAGAUAGUGAAGUUGAAAUUAGCACACGUGGUCCCUUGGAACAGAAGUGAGGAGCUAAAUCCCAAUCUAUUUGACUCCAGAUCAAACUGCAGCAGAUUAUCCUCCAUCAGAUGCCCACCAAUCACGAUCGACGUUCUUGGAUUUGCCCCACCAUCCACAAAACCCAAGCACCACACAUCCUCACCUUUGUGUGCCACCCUUACCAUGGAAUUGGAUCCAAACAUCCUCCAAUACACUUCUUCACUUUGCAUCACAAGAUCAACGGUCGGCACUUCCGGUCCCACACGGGUGCUCACAAUCUCCUUUGCGGAGAAACAGAAACUGAAUGGCUUGACAGCGUUAGUUAGGGUGAGGUUCAUAGCGGAGGAUUCUUUAACGAAUGCCUCGGUGAAUGCCUUGUAAAUGGAGGUCUGCAGUGUCGUAUAAGGAACAACGGUGCUGAUCUUUGUCCCACCAAAACCAGUCUCGCUGUCAAUGGCCAGGAGUGUCUGAUUUAAGACCACCACCUUCCCGUUGACUUUUAUGGAAGUCAACCCGACGAAGUACUCAUCGGAUGGGUGAUUUGCGUAUGUUAUGACGGUGCCGCCGACUGGGUUCAAAAUCAGGGGAGUGUAAAUCAGCGAUUUUCCAACCUCGAUUCCGGGCAAGAAAUUAUAUGGUCCACUGGUACCAAUAAAAGCCACGCCAAGAAACUUUCGUGAACCAGACAAGCAAAGCGCAAAAUAGUUGGGAGCAGAAAAAACAGUUCUAACUUGCCCCUGGAGCGAGAUAUUCGACCUUCCCAUUGCCACCGUGCCCGAGACCCCUGCAGCCAGGCCGUGAAGAAGAGCAGUACGUGCGCAGGAGAAGAUAUAGUUUUUGACGUGAGCUAGUGGACCCUGAGUUGAUCCAUCGGUGGUGGGCACGGCAAGGGAAUCUAUUAGUGCAGCUUCUAAGUUGACCUUACGAGUCACAGAAUUCUCCGGGAAGAACUCGCAGGUGUCGUUGGCGCAGGCGGGGCCAGGUGGCUCGUAGCAGUUGCCACAAGCGAGGGAGUGGAAGGAAUCGCAGAGAGGGGUACCGCAGGGGAUGUGCUGGUAAGUGGUAGAGUUGUAGUUUCGGUAGCAGUCCACCCAGGUGAAGGAAGCACCAAGAUCGAGAAGUAAUUUGGUGGGCUGGAGAGGGGUCUUUAGGUACACUGUGGUGGUGUAUUGGCUGGUGGUAUGAUCUUUUUGAAUAGGUAGAAGAAACGCUGCAUGGAGAGGAAGAACUAAAGAGGAAAUGAAGGAGAGGAAAAAGAGAAGCGAAUAAAGAGACAUUUUUGAGUUUGAUCUUCAGAGUGUAGAAUGUAGAUGCAUGAGUGUUUAUACAGUAUAUAUAUAUAAGCCGAAGUUGGGGUAGUGGAGAUUCAAAAAAAAUGUGGUUUUGAGUAUAUAUGGGUAAGCUUUCAUGCAGGGGAGUGAAGAUAUGCUGCGUUUCAUAUUCAACAAUAAUCUGUGAGCUGGCUUGUAUCUUCCUUUGGGUGGGGCCAUUGCUCUAUAUUUAUGUAUGGCAUAUGCUUGCUCUAUAUUUAUGUAUGGCAUAUGCUUGCCCUGUCCUCAAUAGAUAAUCUAAAAAUCUCACCUUCAGUCGUCACUACCGAUAUCUUCCUCUUUUGAAAGGAAUGAUCAAAUCGGGUUCCAUGGAAUUAAAUCGAAUAGUUGGAGAUGUACUGUGCAAACCCAGUUCGUCCAUUUACAGGGCAGGCCUUUGGGUUUUGAAUGAAUGCAAG
This 1768-nucleotide unclassified non-coding RNA is filed under the name Hevea brasiliensis (rubber tree). Lineage: Eukaryota; Viridiplantae; Streptophyta; Magnoliopsida; Malpighiales; Euphorbiaceae. The record is from RNAcentral.